AACGAACGCUGGCGGCAUGCCUAACACAUGCAAGUCGAACGAGACCUUCGGGUCUAGUGGCGCACGGGUGCGUAACGCGUGGGAACCUGCCCUUAGGUUCGGAAUAACUCCCCGAAAGGGGUGCUAAUACCGGAUAAUGUCUUCGGACCAAAGAUUUAUCGCCUUUGGAUGGGCCCGCGUUGGAUUAGCUAGUUGGUAGGGUAAAAGCCUACCAAGGCGACGAUCCAUAGCUGGUCUGAGGGGAUGAUCAGCCACACUGGGACUGAGACACGGCCCAGACUCCUACGGGAGGCAGCAGUGGGGAAUAGUGGACAGUGGGCGAAAGCCUGAUCCAGCAAUGCCGCGUGAGUGAUGAAGGCCUUAGGGUUGUAAAGCUCUUUUACCCGGGAUGAUAAUGACAGUACCGGGAGAAUAAGCUCCGGCUAACUCCGUG
RNAcentral lists this ribosomal RNA (433 nucleotides) under uncultured bacterium. RNAcentral's name for it is "partial 16S ribosomal RNA". It matches the Rfam family "Bacterial small subunit ribosomal RNA", at positions 29 to 507 of the family's 1533-position model. The record is from RNAcentral.